This 468-nucleotide ribosomal RNA is filed under the name uncultured bacterium. RNAcentral's name for it is "partial 16S ribosomal RNA". It matches the Rfam family "Bacterial small subunit ribosomal RNA", at positions 28 to 507 of the family's 1533-position model. The record is from RNAcentral.
GACGAACGCUGGCGGCGUGCUUAACACAUGCAAGUCGAACGGAAAGGCCCUGCUUUUGUGGGGUGCUCGAGUGCCGAACGGGUGAGUAACACGUGAGUGACCUGCCCUUGACUUUGGGAUAACUUCAGGAAACUGGGGCUAAUACCGGAUAGGAGCUCCUGCUGCAUGGUGGGGGUUGGAAAGUUUCGGCGGUUGGGGAUGGACUCGCGGCUUAUCAGCUUGUUGGUGGGGUAGUGGCUUACCAAGGCUUUGACGGGUAGCCGGCCUGAGAGGGUGACCGGCCACAUUGGGACUGAGAUACGGCCCAGACUCCUACGGGAGGCAGCAGUGGGGAAUAUUGCACAAUGGGCGGAAGCCUGAUGCAGCAACGCCGCGUGCGGGAUGACGGCCUUCGGGUUGUAAACCGCUUUCGCCUGUGACGAAGCGUGAGUGACGGUAAUGGGUAAAGAAGCACCGGCUAACUACGUG